CCUACGGGUGGCAGCAGUGAGGAAUAUUGGUCAAUGGCCGUAAGGCUGAACCAGCCAAGUAGCGUGAGGGAAGACUGCCCUAUGGGUUGUAAACCUCUUUUAUGCGGGGAUAAAGGUGUCCACGUGUGGAUGUUUGCAGGUACCGCAUGAAUAAGGACCGGCUAAUUCCGUGCCAGCAGCCGCGGUAAUACGGAAGGUCCGGGCGUUAUCCGGAUUUAUUGGGUUUAAAGGGAGCGUAGGCCGGUCUUUAAGCGUGCCGUGAAAUUUUGUGGCUCAACCAUGAGAUUGCGGGGGAAACUGGAGGCCUCGAGGGGGCGAGAGGCAGGCGGAAUUCGGGGUGGAGCGGUGAAAUGCUUAGAUAUCACGCAGAACCCCGAUUGCGAAGGCAGCCUGCCGCAGCGUUACUGACGCUGAGGCUCGAAAGCGCGGGUAUCGAACAGGAUUAGAGACCCCGGUAGUC
This 460-nucleotide ribosomal RNA is filed under the name uncultured bacterium. RNAcentral describes it as "partial 16S ribosomal RNA". It matches the Rfam family "Bacterial small subunit ribosomal RNA", at positions 338 to 795 of the family's 1533-position model. The record is from RNAcentral.